This 245-nucleotide unclassified non-coding RNA is filed under the name plant metagenome. Its description in RNAcentral is "partial contains small subunit ribosomal RNA, internal transcribed spacer 1, and 5.8S ribosomal RNA". The record is from RNAcentral.
GGAAGUAAAAACAAGGUCUCCGUAGGUGAACCUGCGGAGGGAUCAUUACAGAGUUCAUGCCCUACCGGGUAGAUCUCCCACCCUAUGUUAUUAUUACUUUGUUGCUUUGGCGGGCCGUUAGGCUCCGGCCCGACUACCGGCCCCGGCUGGUAAGCGCCCGCCAGAGGACCCAAAACCCUGAAUAUUAGUGUCGUCUGAGUACUAUAUAAUAGUUAAAACUUUCAACAACGGAUCUCUUGGUUCUG